Long non-coding RNA from Corvus hawaiiensis (hawaiian crow), 867 nucleotides. RefSeq lists it as uncharacterized. The record is from RefSeq and is a predicted model, not a curated record. Lineage: Eukaryota; Metazoa; Chordata; Aves; Passeriformes; Corvidae. The transcript is spliced from 2 exons.
CCUGAAAUACAAUCAGGGGUUUUUUUGGGACAGCUCCCCCCAAGGCAGUGUCCUCUGAACCUUCCUUUAGCCCCAGGAACAGGCCAGCUCAAAACAUUUCUGCACAAAAGGCAGCAAAGAGAUCCCAAACUUCUGUGUUAAUUCCUGACGGGAAACUGAAAUUCAGAGCUGCAGACGUUGAGUUCAGAUCUAAUACUGGGCUGAUGUGGAGCUGAGGGCCCUCCAGUGAGGAGCAGCAGCUCUGCACAGUGACAUGGAUUUACUCCAGCAGCAAUCCCACCCUGGCAGCACAUUCCCAACGUCCUCAGCAGCCUCGUGCUGCCGUGAGCUGACCUUGAAAAUAUUGCUCUGCGUGGCACGGCCGAUGCCCAGGUGGAACAUUGCCUCUCUGGUCACCUCGAAGCAGUCCUCUGAAAAGCCAAACAGUGCUCUUGAAAAAGCCAAGCACACAAACAGGGGCAAGCAGAACAUCUCAGCACAUCCAAUCCAGCUGGAAUUGCCAGUGGAGAGCGGGGAAGAUGGAUGCUGUCUGGGUAAAUCCCAUACACAAGCUGGACAACCAACCCACUGACUUCUUCUGCCUCUGUCAGGUAAAGCAUGUGCAUAGACAAGACAGUUUCUAAACAAAGCCACAGAGAUGCAAAUUUGCCAGGCCAGAACCAGCUGUUUUAAGCCAGAGGGUUCCAAAUGCAAAGCCCGAAGACUUCAGACAGAAUUGCUGAUGCCAGUGGGGCCCAAGGAACACUGGAGCUGGAAAUCCUACCCAGAGUGAUGGUCAUGUUCUGCUGCCCCUGCAAAUAAAGCUUUUUUGGAGGGAAUAAUAUAUCUUCCCUUCCAUCAGGAAUAAAAUGCUUUGCUUCUCUUUAA